Molecule: ribosomal RNA, 791 nt
Filed under: Myxobolus pseudokoi
Lineage: Eukaryota; Metazoa; Cnidaria; Myxozoa; Bivalvulida; Myxobolidae
Description: bacterial SSU rRNA
Rfam family: Eukaryotic small subunit ribosomal RNA
Source: RNAcentral
GAAACAUGCUAUUCUCGAAGAUUAAGCCAUGCACGUGCCAAGUUCAUACGAUCUUAUCGUGAGACUGCGGACGGCUCAGUAUAUCAGUGAUUAUCUAUUUGAUUGUCUUCCCCAUUGGAUAACCGUGGGAAAUCUAGAGCUAAUACAUGCAGUUCACAGAUCAUUUCGCAAGGGAUGAUUUGAGCAUUUAUUAGACAUAACCAUCUACUGUGUGGCAACACAUGGUAAGGCGAAUCUAGAUAACUUUGCUGAUCGUAUGGCCUCGUGCCGACGACGUUUCAAUUGAGUUUCUGCCCUAUCAACUUGUUGGUAAGGUAUUGGCUUACCAAGGUUGCAACGGGUAACGGGGAAUCAGGGUUCGAUUCCGGAGAGGGAGCCUGAGAAACGGCUACCACAUCCAAGGAAGGCAGCAGGCGCGCAAAUUACCCAAUCUAGACAGUAGGAGGUGGUAAAGAGAAGUACUGAGUGGUGGCAAAUUGUUACCAACUUGGAAUGAACGUAAUUUAAGCAAUUCGAUGAGUAACUACUGGAGGGCAAGUCCUGGUGCCAGCAGCCGCGGUAAUUCCAGCUCCAGUGGCGUGAUUUAAAGUUGCUGCGUUUAAAACGCUCGUAGUUGGAUCACGCAGUAGUAUUCAGUAAUUCGAUUUGAUGUUUUUCAUGAUGCCUCAGGGUUUCUGAAUUUCAUUAGUUUGAAUGUUAACGCUGAAUGCUACUAUUUGCACACAAGUGUGGUAUUUGGCCUUUAGUGAGUUGAGUAUCAUGCCUUGUGGAGUGUGCGUUGAAUAAAACAG